This 468-nucleotide ribosomal RNA is filed under the name uncultured bacterium. RNAcentral's name for it is "partial 16S ribosomal RNA". It matches the Rfam family "Bacterial small subunit ribosomal RNA", at positions 28 to 507 of the family's 1533-position model. The record is from RNAcentral.
GACGAACGCUGGCGGCGUGCUUAACACAUGCAAGUCGAACGGAAAGGCCCUGCUUUUGUGGGGUGCUCGAGUGGCGAACGGGUGAGUAACACGUGAGUAACCUGCCCUUGACUUUGGGAUAACUUCAGGAAACUGGGGCUAAUACCGGAUAGGAGCUCCUGCUGCAUGGUGGGGGUUGGAAAGUUUCGGCGGUUGGGGAUGGACUCGCGGCUUAUCAGCUUGUUGGUGGGGUAGUGGCUUACCAAGGCUUUGACGGGUAGCCGGCCUGAGAGGGUGACCGGCCACCUUGGGACUGAGAUACGGCCCAGACUCCUACGGGAGGCAGCAGUGGGGAAUAUUGCACAAUGGGCGGAAGCCUGAUGCAGCAACGCCGCGUUCGGGAUGACGGCCUUCGGGUUGUAAACCGCUUUCGCCUGUGACGAAGCGUGAGUGACGGUAAUGGGUAAAGAAGCACCGGCUAACUACGUG